RNAcentral lists this ribosomal RNA (400 nucleotides) under uncultured bacterium. RNAcentral's name for it is "bacterial SSU rRNA". It matches the Rfam family "Bacterial small subunit ribosomal RNA", at positions 356 to 773 of the family's 1533-position model. The record is from RNAcentral.
GGGGAAUGUUGCACAAUGGAGGAAACUCUGAUGCAGCAACGCCGCGUGAGUGAUGAAGGUCUUCGGAUUGUAAAGCUCUGUCUUCUGGGACGAUAAUGACGGUACCAGAGGAGGAAGCCACGGCUAACUACGUGCCAGCAGCCGCGGUAAUACGUAGGUGGCAAGCGUUGUCCGGAUUUACUGGGCGUAAAGGAUGUGUAGGCGGAUAUUUAAGUGAGAUGUGAAAGACCCGGGCUUAACUUGGGCAGUGCAUUUCAAACUGGAUGUCUAGAGUGCAGGAGAGGAAAGCAGAAUUCCUAGUGUAGCGGUGAAAUGCGUAGAGAUUAGGAAGAAUACCAGUGGCGAAGGCGGCUUUCUGGACUGUAACUGACGCUGAGGCAUGAAAGCGUGGGGAGCAAAC